RNAcentral lists this ribosomal RNA (449 nucleotides) under uncultured bacterium. RNAcentral describes it as "partial 16S ribosomal RNA". It matches the Rfam family "Bacterial small subunit ribosomal RNA", at positions 29 to 523 of the family's 1533-position model. The record is from RNAcentral.
UGCGAACGCUGGCGGCAGGCCUAACACAUGCAAGUCGAACGGGUCCUUUGGGACUAGUGGCGGACGGGUGAGUAACGCGUGGGAACGUGCCCCUUGGUACGGAAUAGCCCCGGGAAACUGGGAGUAAUACCGUAUGUGGUCGAGAGACGAAAGAUUUAUCGCCAAGGGAUCGGCCCGCGUUGGAUUAGGUAGUUGGUGGGGUAAUGGCCUACCAAGCCGACGAUCCAUAGCUGGUUUGAGAGGAUGAUCAGCCACACUGGGACUGAGACACGGCCCAGCCUCCUACGGGAGGCAGCAGUGGGGAAUAUUGGACAAUGGGCGGAAGCCUGAUCCAGCCAUGCCGCGUGAGUGAUGAAGGCCUUCGGGUUGUAAAGCUCUUUCGGCGGGGACGAUAAUGACGGUACCAGCAGAAGAAGCCCCGGCUAACUUCGUGCCAUCCGCCGCCGUAA